Molecule: non-coding RNA, 46 nt
Filed under: Schistosoma mansoni
Lineage: Eukaryota; Metazoa; Platyhelminthes; Trematoda; Strigeidida; Schistosomatidae
Source: RNAcentral
GUACUGCUGAGGAGUCCCAUAAUAGGACAAAACGACCGUCCAGUGC